RNAcentral lists this transfer RNA (26 nucleotides) under Cephalophorus leucogaster (white-bellied duiker). Its description in RNAcentral is "Cephalophus leucogaster (white-bellied duiker) partial tRNA-Phe". The record is from RNAcentral. Lineage: Eukaryota; Metazoa; Chordata; Mammalia; Artiodactyla; Bovidae. RNAcentral also lists the same sequence under 2 other names.
GUUAAUGUAGCUUAAAAUUAAAGCAA